Hypanus sabinus (Atlantic stingray) is the source of this 2668-nucleotide RNA transcript. It is a transcript of the gene named zinc finger protein 239-like, with no coding region annotated. The transcript has 4 exons. NCBI's taxonomy places the organism in Eukaryota, Metazoa, Chordata, Chondrichthyes, Myliobatiformes, Dasyatidae. The record is from RefSeq and is a predicted model, not a curated record.
GAGGUUUACCAGGACACUGCCUGGAAUAGAGGGCCUGAGCUACAACGGGAGGGUUAGGGUUAGGCCACAUCUGGAGUGUUUUAUACAGUUGUGGUGGCUAUCAUUCUCUGAAGGAUAUCGGGGCUUUGGAGCGGGUGCAGAAGAGGUUUACCAGGACACUGCCUGGAAUAGAGGGCCUGAACUAUAACGGAAGGCUGGACAACCUUAUGUUGUUUACUCUGGAGCCGUGCCGGCUGGGGUGAGACUGAAUAGACGUUUAUAAGAUUACCAAAGGAUUAGAAACAGUGUCUCAGAAAGUCUCUGACUAACCACAUGAUCAAUGCCUCUCAUAAACUUAUAUACCUCUUUCAAGUCACCUCUCAUCCUCUGUCACUCCAAGGAGAGAAGGCCGAGUUCACUCAACCUAUUCUCAUAAGGCAUGCUCCCCAAUCCAGGCAACAUACUUUUAACUCUCUUCUGCACCCUUUCUAAGGUUUCCACAUUCUUCCUGUAGUGAGGUGACCAGAAUUGAGCACAGUGGAGUGUGACCAAGGUCCUAUAUAGCUGCAACAAAAACUCUCGGCUCCUAAACUCAACACACAAUUAAUAAAGGUCAAUGCACGGUAGACCAUAGAGUCAACCUGCAUAUCAGACUUGAGUGUCCUAUGGACUCGGAUCCCAAGAUCCCUCUGAUCCUCCACACUGUGAAGAGUCUUCCCAUUAAUGCGAAAUUCUGCCAUCAUGUUCGACCUAACAAAUUGAACAACUUCAAGCUUAUCCGGGUUGAACUCCAUUUGGGACUUCUCAGCCCAGUUUUGCAUCCUUUCAGUGUCCCACUGUGACCUCUGACAGCCCCGCACACUAUCCACAACACUCCCAACAUUUGUGUCAUCAGUAAAUUUACUAACACAUCCCUUCACUUCCUCAUCAAGGUCAUUUAUAAAAAUCACGGCGAUUAAUGGUCCCAGAUAUAAGUAUACUGUAAAUUUUUAUUAUUUUGUUUUUUUUUCUUCUAUAUCAUGUAUUACAUUGAAAUGCUGUUGCACAGUUAACAGAUUUUACACCACAUGCUGGUGAUAAUAAACGAUUAUGAAUCUGAGUGGAUAGACAAUGCUAUUGUCCUGGGGAUUGAAAUGUCUAAUACACUUAAGGUGAGACCAGAUGUAAGCGACGUUUGUGUCUUUCCACAGAGUGUUGGGAGCUGGACCCUCUGCCUGGGGUGGGAGACCCCACUAGUUACGUGAUCCUGUUUGCCCCUCCGAUUUAUCCGCAGAUGUACAAUCUCUUCACGCAUGCUCACUGUUUCCGGUUAGACAUGUGAUGAGAGAUUUAUUGGAAGAAAAUCCCCAAAUGGAAGCAAACCAUGACUGAAGACGAGUGAAACAGCCCGAGGAUUGAGAACAUCAACUGGAGAGAACCCAAAUGACUUGGAGAUUCCAUUGAUAUAGUCAGGAGAAAGUUUGGUUAAAAAUGACAAGGAAUUUGUCUAUGGAAAUUCAAACAUAGCACCCCAGUUUUGCUGUCUCGGUCUAGAUAUUUAAGAAGUGGAGCAAGGGAUUUACUCGAUCAUCCUUCCUGCUCAUACUGUGGAGAGGGAUUCACUUGGUCAUCUGACUAACUGGCACGCCCAUCAUUUUACACAGGGGAGAGGCCAUUCACCUGCUCAGACAGUGGGAGUGCAUUCACUCGGUCAUCUCAACUGAAGGAAUCCUUCUGUUUCUGGGAAGAGGUCUCCAACUCUCAGUCAGGUGCUCGAUAUUUCCUUUUCACCAUCUCAUCUGCUCAGAUCAUUGGGAUGUCUCCCAUGGAGGGUCAUACUCAUUCCACUAGUUCAUGUUUUCUUCCACAGUGAUGAUUCGUUUUUCUGAGGUAGCUUCUCAUUUAAGUUUCCUGGUCUGUAUUUCUUAUCACAAUUGCAUAUACAUAUAUGGAGUGCUGAAUCAUGUUCAAAUUCAAUUGUAAUCUAAGAUGAUGGCGCGACGGAGCUUGCAGCGGCCAUUCCGGAGCUGAUUAUCAGUUAUUUGUCAAGCGGGGUGCCGUGCGCCAUCAUAAUCGGGUGAAAAACGGACGUGGGAGCACGGAGGAACAUCUGGAAAUCUCCAGAAGACCACUUUCGUUGCUGCUGCUGCUGUGCGGUCCGGGACUCAGCUGGGAAGAACAGGCACCCAGUCUUCGGAGUCGCGUUGGCGGGGCCGUCUUAAUACGCUCGGCAGAGGAUGGUGCUCGGAGAAGCUGUGCCGGAGGGGAUGGUCUUUGGCUCGGAGGUGUGUGCUGUGUCUGCGAGGCUGAGUCGGGCGGCGCCGUGGAAGCCCUUCUGCCGCCUGCGUGGGAUGGCGAGUCUGUCGGGACCCUGGGGACUUGUGGAAACUCUGUGGUGGUUUCUGUUGAACUUAUAGUCCUUUAACAUCUUUGGACUACUUUUACUGUGCCCAUGGUCUGUUUUUUUAAUGAAUUAUGCUAUUGUUUGCACUGUUGUAACUAUGUGGUUUUGUGCAGGUCUUGUAGCUUUAGUUUUUGGUCUUGUUUUGUCUGGUAGCUUUGGAGCUCCUUUCCGGGGAACGUGCUAAGAUAGUAACGCGAUAUUAAUACGCAGCAGCCUCUCCAGACUCUGGAUUGGGGAUUGCCAAAGGUUAUGUGGAUUUUCCGGUGUAGUCUGUUUUGUCCUGUGCUUUUGUGAUAUCAUUCUGGA